RNAcentral lists this long non-coding RNA (2008 nucleotides) under Sitophilus oryzae (rice weevil). RNAcentral's name for it is "uncharacterized LOC115884663". The record is from RNAcentral. Lineage: Eukaryota; Metazoa; Arthropoda; Insecta; Coleoptera; Curculionidae.
UGGAGUCUAAAAGGAGGAGGCGAAUCGAACGCAAAAAUUAUGGGCCCAGUUUUUGAGAUCUAAAUGAAGUUCGAAAAUCGCCGUUAGGGGCGCUUGUGAUGAUUGGGAUACUAGAAAUACACAGCUUCUUAUGGCAAGAAUAACUAUUUUGUUAUAAAUUAUAGAGCCAAGUUAAUAUUUGGGCAUAUUUUUACCAGAGUUAGCUUUUAGAAACGUGGUUUUUCUAAUUGAGCAAUGUGCGUGGCUAAAAUUGUGAAUACAAAACCUUAAAUUUGAGUUUGAAAAUGCAUACACGACCGAAGAAACAUAUAAGCUGCUAAAAUAAAUCUUCCCUAGAACUGUUGUACAAAAAAGAUAGAAGUUCCAGCAACAAAUUUAUCACCAGUUCAACCUUUGAUUUGAUGUAAACAGUAAUUGUUUCUUGAUGAGAAAUGCGAAUGAAAUAGUUUAUGGUGUGAUUGUGUUAGUGUUUUAUUAAUAGUUUUGUUGAUGCAGUUUAAAGGUUCAUAGUUUUUCAUUAAAACAUUUGAAAUUGACAUGUUUACAUGCAGUUUAGUGUGAUACCAUUUUAAUAAACAUUAAAAUCUUUCGAACUAGUAGUGGUUUUAUGGCGAUUGACAGAUUGAAUAACGAAAAUUAAGAGUAUUUUAUCAGGAAUAACUUAAUCAUAAAUGGAAACUGAAGACGAACGUUACCAUUGCACCCUUUGAUCGGUGUUAUCUAUUCCAUAACUUUUUAUAGCUGAAACUAGAGAGUAGGUAUAUUGAGCUGAAACGUUUCCUGUGUUCAAUAGCGUUUUUUCUAGCGUUGAAUUGUAAGUUUUAAUGUCAUUAGCAAAGUUUUGCAAAUUGUCACUGUUUCGUAGACAAUUAAAUUCAAGAUAUAUUAUAUUCAAUGUCACCUAAUAAUUGUAAAGGUUUUUCUAUUGAUAUUCACUUUAUUAAUAUAAGGUAGGUUUGUAAAUAAAAUAUUAAUGAAUAAAUAAUGUACUCAGUUUAUUUCAAAAGCACAAAAAUACAGAGUUGUGAAUAUGUAUAUACGCUGACUUAUUUCAUCAUAUAAAUAUUUAUUUAGCAAUAUUAAUACAUUACAACUUUUGUUUCUAUUAACUAAUUCCACUAAAUUUAAUAAAUAAAAUAUACAAUAUAUAAAUUUAAUAUACAAUUUAGCACUUAGAUAUUAAAUAUCUAUAUGUACUAUGCCAAAAAAUAAAACAGGAACAUCAUAUUAUAUCAAGAACACAAAAAAUUACAAUUUAAAAAAAAUGCAUUCUAAAAAAAUACCUAGCUACAAUAUACCUACAUAUUAAUUUAAAGAGCUUAUUCAUAUUCAUAAAAACUAUUCUAAAUGGUUUAUAUACACAAUCAAAAGUAUCAACCACAAUACAAUAAUUUUCAAAUUAUUUCUUAUUAUUCCUCAAUGAAAAAGCGUCUUGCGACGGCUAGUCAAAAAUCUAAAUAAUUUUUAUAAUAAAUUUACAAUCUGACAUAUGCAAAUAUGUCAGUAGUAAUACGUAAUUUUACUUUAUGAAAUUACUACAUCUAGAACCGAUUUUAAAAAAUUGUACAAAUUUUCACCCCUAAUAUAACCCUUUUAAGAGAUAAAUUUUCAAAAAUCGACGUUCUUAGUAGAUUCCUAGGACAGAUUUUAAAAAGCUUUUACAGAAAAUUUCGCCCCCUCAAGCGAUAAAUUUCUGCUCGUUCACCCCUCAUUUCGCCCCCUUUUGGUGCGAAUUUCCAGAAAACGUUACAUAAUAUUCAAUUAAGUCACCAAAGAAACCUCUGUGCAAAAUUUCAUACUUUUAAAAGAGCGAUUAUAACAAGUUUUUCCAAGUUUUACCCUCUUAGGGUAAACAUUUCCAAAAAUUGCUUAUGUAUCUCAUUAUGAAUAUUCACUUUCAUCCCUUAAGGGAUAUCUGUGCAAAAUUUCAUACACCUAGGACAGAUUAAAUUUUUUUCUUAUACAAAAUUUACUCCUCAAUGCAUCCCCUUAGGGGACAAAUUUCAUC